Long non-coding RNA from Wyeomyia smithii (pitcher-plant mosquito), 615 nucleotides. RefSeq lists it as uncharacterized. Lineage: Eukaryota; Metazoa; Arthropoda; Insecta; Diptera; Culicidae. The transcript is spliced from 4 exons. The record is from RefSeq and is a predicted model, not a curated record.
CGUAAUUUGUGUGCGACGCUCAAACACUCUUGCGAUACGAUACGGUUUCCAAAGAAUCCUGGAUGGACUUGUGCUGUUUGCAGGCAUACUAUUUUACUUCCGGAAACACCCGAUUUUGCAGUCUUCAUGUGAAUUACGAGCUGGAUCUGUACGAGUCCGCAGCCAACAGGAAGCUGAGAACUAUACCUGGUGCACCUCAAGGUUUCCUAUGCCAAACUUAAGUGAAACAAACCAGCAUGGAAGAGAGACUGCUUCUGACGUUGGCACUGCUGCUGCUUCUGGACUACUACUGCUGCUGGGGCUACUGCUGCUCCUGGGAUUACUGUUGUUGAUGGGACUCUUGCUACUGCUGCUGGCAUUGCUGCCGACCAUAAAUUGUUUUCUCCAAGCAUUUCCGUGAAAACUAUUACAGCAUGGUUCAACGAUCAACUGAAAGGUUCAGAAAGGUUCGAAGGGAUCGGUAGACUUACUUCAGCGGGAAAGCCAAGACAGAUACCAAUAGUUCAGCAAUGGCGACAUCGAUCGGACAAGCAAGCCUACACAACUUAAACGCUGCGUUCGUAUACGUGUUUUGUCGUUACCAGGAACAAUUAAAUUAAGUAAUUCAAAGAGAUC